CAGAAACGAUUUGUGCCUCGCUUGCGGAUUAAGGAGAAAGUUCUUCAGCAUCUCUCCGGAGUGCUGGUGAAACCAUCUGCCAGAGCAGCCUCUCCUGAACUGGAAGGUCAGUCAAUAACAGAGUAGAGGUUCAUACCUCAAGCUCCCAAAACCUGCAUAACAAAGCAACAUAAACAAAUCAGCAGCUGGGCUCCUUCCCCUCUCCUCCCUCCACAGAAAGUAAGCAGAUCUUUUCCCAACUAGCAGGAAGAUGAUGUGAAAUAAUUAUGAUGUCUGCAAUCGAGGAACGAGGGAAAAAACCCCACCAAUUACCACAGCAAGGUAUUUCAUGUGUUGUCUUUUUGGGGAAACUUUACAUUUUUAGAUAAUGUUGCCUAAUUGGAACCUGGCUGUCACUGAGCAGCUCUGCACAGAAAAGUAAAUACUAAAGGCAACACAAUGUCCUGGUGUCCCAGGGUGAGAGGACCCAACAGCCAGGGUGGGAAGGUGUUUCUGCGAAGCUGAGGGUCACAGAGCUGUGACGUGGCACCACUCUGGUGCUUUGCUCAUUUCAGGGUUGCCUUUUUCCAUUUGUCCUUCCAUUACUCCUCAUAAAAAUUUAUCUUUGCAGAGAGAUGGCGAUGCGCUCCAGGUCUCCGGUGAUGCCCUGCUGCAGCCAAACCUCCUGCCUUGGCACAAAGGGAAUUGGGGCCUUUAAAAGCACAUGUAGGAAAUGUGAUUAUAUCUCAUUUGGCUGAAGAAUGAAACGUACUGCAAGAGCUACACACACACACUUCUGUUCUCGUGCCAUCGUUGCCCACAGGCCCAGGGCUUUGAACCACACCACCCUGAGACCCCACGUCAAGAAGGACAGGGAACUGCAGGAGAAGAUUAAAGCAGAUCAUCAUCAUCUUCAUCAUCAUCGUCACAUGUGUUCGUGCAGGCAAGAGAACAACUCAUCUCUGAAUUUUGAGUGGGGUCAGCGCUCUUUCCACAACCUGAGACCCUCCAAAAUUUUGCCUGGACUGAGAUGACCACCCCCCCACAUACCCCCUGGGCAAGCUCAGCAGGGUCUCAGCCGCUUGCCUCCCAACCAGCUUAACCAGUAAGCAGAUUAUGGGUGGGCUUGGAGAGUCUCUGAUUGCUUAACCCAAGGAGAGCCUCUCUGGAUUUGACACUCCAGGCCCCACGUUGAUGUGGGAGACCCCAGGGACCACCACAUCCUUGAUGAGACGGUGCUCGACCAUCAUCUGCCAGAGCAGAUGGUUAAGAGGGAAAAGUCCCACGUCAUUAGUGUGCCAGCUGGCUCAGAAAUGAUGAAAGCCACUCUAAACCCACACGUGUUUCAUCAUCACUCAUGGUAGAGAGGAAAAGGCAGGUGAACCAUGUACCUGUCAGCAAAUAAUUCACCCCAACUUGUGUGUAUGAGGAAAUGCCUGUUGAAUGCAAAGAUGUUUUUUUCAGCAGCAAGAAUGACGUUCAAAACACCAUGCAAAAUCUAUUUUAUUUUUUUUUUAGGAUAGGUGAUAUUAAUUUUUUAAUUCUGUUUUAACUAUAUUUAUUUUUUAGCCUGGGUGACAGCACUAGGAUGACUAGAAGUAGUUUUAGCAGGAAGGCAAGCUUUGGGUGACCUCUCUUGUCCUCUUGCAGGCAUCCAGUCACCUUCUCAGAGGGGUAAUGCGAAUUCAAGACGAGCGACGCACCGAGAAGGCACAGGCAGUGAUAUUUCACUUCCCAAGUCAGCAUCAUCAUUUAUGGAAAACUUUAUGAAGGGAGUUGGCCAGUGGAGAAGAAGCCACUUGCUCCAUUGCUUGAUCCACCCUCCCAACACCCACAGCGGGUGAAACACCGUUUGAGCAGAAAGGUUUGUGAGCAUUGUCCAUCUAAAUGGGGGUGUUUGGUGGUUGUUUUUUUUUUUUCCCCUAUGAUCUUGUGUCAACAAAGACCUGAUUAUGUUCUUACCUGAUCUCUGUUUAGCAGGAAACAUUUUUAAAGGUUAUGGUUGCUGGUGCCGGUGUUAUUUCUGCUGAGCACUGUGCCUCUCCUGCUGCUGCACCCCCAGCAAUCUCCCCAAAAAGAAGGUCAUUCCCUGAUUGUUUCUAGUUCGGUAAUUAACUGUGGUAACAAGCCAUGGACCACGGUGGUAUUUACAGAGGUAGUCAGAAGGAGGAGAUUAAUUAAAGGUCAUUUUGACCUUAGUGCUUUAUUAUUCCCUAAUAUUAGAUAUUUAUGCCCUUACUUAGACCGCCUUGGGUUUAUUUGAUGGAGAGAAUGAUACAGGGGGCCUAUUCAUGAACAGUCUUUGAGACACAUACACAUCAGUUAAAACAAAUAUUGAAUAUUUUCUGAACUUACAUUUUUUGUGACCGAUGUAAUGUAAACCUGCAGCUUUGGAGAAAGAGCUGCUUCCCCGGAGAAACCACCCCUGGGGAGGCAGGAGCCUCCUGUAAACUCCUUUACAACCCAUCUACAACUUGUUUAAUAUGGCAUUUAUUUAUUUUUUUUAAAUGCAUGUGCUAAGUAUUUCACUCUGCCUAUCACUAUUAAUCUGCAUUCCAGCUUGUCUUUAAUCAAUUUCUAGGCAAAGUAGGGAUGAAAACGGGAUUUUACCUACCCCUGAUGAAAGCAUCUGCCAAGGAACAGGAAAGAAAUAAGCGCAAGAGACUUGUUAAUAAACCAGUAAAAACAUCCA
RNAcentral lists this long non-coding RNA (2671 nucleotides) under Calidris pugnax (ruff). RNAcentral's name for it is "lncRNA (ENSCPUG00000017182.1)". The record is from RNAcentral. Lineage: Eukaryota; Metazoa; Chordata; Aves; Charadriiformes; Scolopacidae.